Onthophagus taurus is the source of this 365-nucleotide long non-coding RNA. RefSeq lists it as uncharacterized. NCBI's taxonomy places the organism in Eukaryota, Metazoa, Arthropoda, Insecta, Coleoptera, Scarabaeidae. The record is from RefSeq and is a predicted model, not a curated record.
CAAAAAAUUUGACAAAAUUAUGAUAAAUAUAUCAAAAUUAUAUGUUAUAUUAGAAAACGUACAAAUUAUGUGUUAAGAACAAAUCAGAAGUAUCGCAUUCAUCAGAAAUUUGUCUAGAUUAACAGACAUAAGUCAGAAAUAUUUCAAAAUUGUCUGUAAUUAUUGAAUAUAGCGUAAUAUAACGUUACAUUUACAUAUGCAGGAUUAUAUUUACUAUGAGUUGGUGGUAGAUAUAUUAGACCCGAAGAAACGUCGCUGUGGCAUAAAAUUCGAAACCUUACAAAUGGUACCAUUACACCUCAAUUUAUAUAAUUAUGUAGAUUGAGCAGUAUAUAUAAUUGUAAUAAAGGAGAAGUUAUAAUUUA